GUUGUAUGGUUAAGUGACUAAGCGUACACGGUGGAUGCCUGGGCAGUCAGAGGCGAUGAAGGACGUACUAACUUGCGAUAAGCGCAGAUAAGGCAGUAAGAGCCGUUUGAGUCUGCGAUUUCCGAAUGGGGAAACCCAACUGCAUAAGCAGUUACUGUUAACUGAAUACAUAGGUUAACAGAGCAAACCGGGGGAACUGAAACAUCUAAGUACCCCGAGGAGAAGAAAUCAACCGAGAUUCCGGUAGUAGCGGCGAGCGAACCUGGAUUAGCCCUUAAGCACUCGGUGAAGUAGGUGAACAAGCUGGAAAGCUUGGCGAUACAGGGUGAUAGCCCCGUAACCGACGCUUCAUCGAGCGUGAAAUCGAGUAGGGCGGGACACGUGAUAUCCUGUCUGAAUAUGGGGGGACCAUCCUCCAAGGCUAAAUACUCCUGACUGACCGAUAGUGAACCAGUACCGUGAGGGAAAGGCGAAAAGAACCCCUGUGAGGGGAGUGAAAUAGAACCUGAAACCGUGUACGUACAAGCAGUAGGAGCACCUUCGUGGUGUGACUGCGUACCUUUUGUAUAAUGGGUCAGCGACUUAUAUUCAGUGGCAAGGUUAACCGUAUAGGGGAGCCGCUAGCGAAAGCGAGUCUUAACUGGGCGCUCAGUCUCUGGAUAUAGACCCGAAACCGGGUGAUCUAGCCAUGGGCAGGUUGAAGGUUGAGUAACAUCAACUGGAGGACCGAACCGACUAAUGUUGAAAAAUUAGCGGAUGACUUGUGGCUAGGGGUGAAAGGCCAAUCAAACUCGGAGAUAGCUGGUUCUCCCCGAAAGCUAUUUAGGUAGCGCCUACGACGAAUACUACUGGGGGUAGAGCACUGUUAAGGCUAUGGGGUCAUCCCGACUUACCAACCCUUUGCAAACUCCGAAUACCAGUAAGUACUAUCCGGGAGACACACGGCGGGUGCUAACGUCCGUCGUGGAGAGGGAAACAACCCAGACCGACAGCUAAGGUCCCAAAGUAUUGCUAAGUGGGAAACGAUGUGGGAAGGCUCACACAGCUAGGAUGUUGGCUUAGAAGCAGCCAUCAUUUAAAGAAAGCGUAAUAGCUCACUAGUCGAGUCGGUCUGCGCGGAAGAUGUAACGGGGCUAAGCAAUACACCGAAGCUGCGGCAAUGUCUUUUAGACAUUGGGUAGGGGAGCGUUCUGUAAGCCGUUGAAGGUGAAUCGUAAGGUUUGCUGGAGGUAUCACAAGUGCGAAUGCUGACAUGAGUAACGACAAAGGGGGUGAAAAACCUCCUCGCCGGAAGACCAAGGGUUCCUGUCCAACGUUAAUCGGGGCAGGGUGAGUCGACCCCUAAGGUGAGGCCGAAAGGCGUAAUCGAUGGGAAACGGGUUAAUAUUCCCGUACUUCUGACUAUUGCGAUGGGGGGACGGAGAAGGCUAGGUGGGCCAGGCGACGGUUGUCCUGGUUCAAGUGCGUAGGCUUGAGAGUUAGGUAAAUCCGGCUCUCUCUAAGGCUGAGACACGACGUCGAGCUACUACGGUAGUGAAGUCAUUGAUGCCAUGCUUUCAGGAAAAGCCUCUAAGCUUCAGAUAGUCAGGAAUCGUACCCCAAACCGACACAGGUGGUCGGGUAGAGAAUACCAAGGCGCUUGAGAGAACUCGGGUGAAGGAACUAGGCAAAAUGGUACCGUAACUUCGGGAGAAGGUACGCUCUUGAUGGUGAAGUCCCUCGCGGAUGGAGCUGACGAGAGUCGCAGAUACCAGGUGGCUGCAACUGUUUAUUAAAAACACAGCACUGUGCAAAAUCGCAAGAUGACGUAUACGGUGUGACGCCUGCCCGGUGCCGGAAGGUUAAUUGAUGGGGUUAGCGCAAGCGAAGCUCUUGAUCGAAGCCCCGGUAAACGGCGGCCGUAACUAUAACGGUCCUAAGGUAGCGAAAUUCCUUGUCGGGUAAGUUCCGACCUGCACGAAUGGCGUAAUGAUGGCCACGCUGUCUCCACCCGAGACUCAGUGAAAUUGAAAUCGCUGUGAAGAUGCAGUGUACCCGCGGCUAGACGGAAAGACCCCGUGAACCUUUACUACAGCUUGGCACUGAACAUUGAACCUACAUGUGUAGGAUAGGUGGGAGGCUAUGAAGACGUGACGCCAGUUGCGUUGGAGCCGUCCUUGAAAUACCACCCUUGUAUGUUUGAUGUUCUAACUUAGACCCAUUAUCUGGGUUGAGGACAGUGCCUGGUGGGUAGUUUGACUGGGGCGGUCUCCUCCCAAAGAGUAACGGAGGAGCACGAAGGUGGGCUAAUCACGGUUGGACAUCGUGAGGUUAGUGCAAUGGCAUAAGCCCGCUUAACUGCGAGAAUGACGGUUCGAGCAGGUGCGAAAGCAGGUCAUAGUGAUCCGGUGGUUCUGUAUGGAAGGGCCAUCGCUCAACGGAUAAAAGGUACUCCGGGGAUAACAGGCUGAUACCGCCCAAGAGUUCAUAUCGACGGCGGUGUUUGGCACCUCGAUGUCGGCUCAUCACAUCCUGGGGCUGAAGUCGGUCCCAAGGGUAUGGCUGUUCGCCAUUUAAAGUGGUACGCGAGCUGGGUUUAGAACGUCGUGAGACAGUUCGGUCCCUAUCUGCCGUGGGCGUUGGAAGAUUGAAGGGGGCUGCUCCUAGUACGAGAGGACCGGAGUGGACGAACCUCUGGUGUUCGGGUUGUGUCGCCAGACGCAUUGCCCGGUAGCUAAGUUCGGAAUUGAUAAGCGCUGAAAGCAUCUAAGCGCGAAGCGAGCCCUGAGAUGAGUCUUCCCUGACAGUUUAACUGUCCUAAAGGGUUGUUCGAGACUAGAACGUUGAUAGGCAGGGUGUGUAAGCGUUGUGAGGCGUUGAGCUAACCUGUACUAAUUGCCCGUGAGGCUUAACCAUACAACACCCAAGGGGUUUUGUA
Molecule: ribosomal RNA, 2917 nt
Filed under: Vibrio cholerae
Lineage: Bacteria; Pseudomonadati; Pseudomonadota; Gammaproteobacteria; Vibrionales; Vibrionaceae
Description: bacterial LSU rRNA
Rfam family: Bacterial large subunit ribosomal RNA
Source: RNAcentral